GGCCCAAUGGUCUAGUCGUAUGAUUCCUGCUUCGGGUUCUACCCGGUACUUCAUCAGUACUUAACCUGCAGGAGGUCCCGGGUUCAAUUCCCGGUUGAGCCC
Molecule: non-coding RNA, 102 nt
Organism: Peniophora sp. CONT
Lineage: Eukaryota; Fungi; Basidiomycota; Agaricomycetes; Russulales; Peniophoraceae
Source: Rfam